CACCUCUAGCAUUAAUAGUAUUAGAGGCAUCGCCUGCCCAGUGACUCACGUUAAACGGCCGCGGUAUUCUGACCGUGCAAAGGUAGCAUAAUCACUUGUUUCUUAAUUAGGGACUAGCAUGAAUGGCUCGACGAGGGUUUAACUGUCUCUUACAUUUGAUCUAUGAAAUUGACCUCUCCGUGAAGAGGCGGAGAUACUAUAAUAAGACGAGAAGACCCUAUGGAGCUUUAAUUUAUUAACUUACUUGAGCAAAACACUAAACCUAUCAGGUCCAAAAUAUUUAUACUAAGUUAAUAAUUUUGGUUGGGGUGACCUCGGAGAACAAAAUAUCCUCCGAAAGAUUUUAUACUAGACCCACAAGUCUCACAAAUGAAAUUUAUUCCACUAUUUCAUAUCUUAAAUUGAUCCAGAUUUCACUGAACAAUGGACCAAGUUACCCUAGGGAUAACAGCGCAAUCCUUCUAGAGAGUUCAUAUCGAUAGUAGGGUUUACGACCUCGAUGUUGGAUCAGGACAUCCCAAUGGUGCAGCAGCUAUUAAAGGUUCGUUUGUUCAACGAUUAAAGUCCU
RNAcentral lists this ribosomal RNA (568 nucleotides) under Heteromys desmarestianus (Desmarest's spiny pocket mouse). RNAcentral's name for it is "partial 16S ribosomal RNA". It matches the Rfam family "Bacterial large subunit ribosomal RNA", at positions 1816 to 2597 of the family's 2925-position model. The record is from RNAcentral. Lineage: Eukaryota; Metazoa; Chordata; Mammalia; Rodentia; Heteromyidae.